This 460-nucleotide non-coding RNA is filed under the name Solanum lycopersicum (tomato). Its description in RNAcentral is "Microsporidia small subunit ribosomal RNA". It matches the Rfam family "Eukaryotic small subunit ribosomal RNA", at positions 203 to 660 of the family's 1831-position model. The record is from Rfam by way of RNAcentral. Lineage: Eukaryota; Viridiplantae; Streptophyta; Magnoliopsida; Solanales; Solanaceae.
CAUUUAUUAGAUAAAAGGUUGAUGUGGGCUCUGCGUGUUUCCGCGAUGAUUCAUGAUAACUCGACGGAUCGCACGGCCCUCGUGCCGGUGACGCAUCAUUCAAAUUUUUUCCCUAUCAAUUUUCGAUGGUAGGAUACUGGCCUACCAUGGUGGUGACUGGUGACGGAUAAUUAAGGUUCGAUUCCGGAGAGGGAUCCUGAGAAACGGCUACCACAUCCAAGGAAGGCAGCAGGCGCGCUAAUUACCCAAUCCUGACACGGGGAGGUAGUGAUAAUAAAUAACAAUACCGAGCUCUAUGAGUCUGGUAAUUGGAAUGAGUACAAUCUAAAUCCCUUAACGAGGAUCUAUUGGAGUUCAAGUCUAGUGCCAGCAGCCGCGGUAAUUCCAGCUCCAAUAUCGUAUAUUUAAGUUGUUGUAGUUAAAAAGGUGGUAGUGGGACUUUGGGAUGGGCCGGACAGUC